RNAcentral lists this transfer RNA (71 nucleotides) under Loxodonta africana (African savanna elephant). It matches the Rfam family "tRNA". Rfam says of the family: Transfer RNA (tRNA) molecules are approximately 80 nucleotides in length. Their secondary structure includes four short double-helical elements and three loops (D, anti-codon, and T loops). The record is from Rfam by way of RNAcentral. Lineage: Eukaryota; Metazoa; Chordata; Mammalia; Proboscidea; Elephantidae.
GAAUGGGUGGUCCAGUGGUAAAAUUCCUGCCUUCCAUGCAGGAGACUGGGGUUCGAUUCCUGGCCCAUGCA